CCUACGGGAGGCAGCAGUGAGGAAUCUUGCGCAAUGGGGGAAACCCUGACGCAGCAACGCCGCGUGGGUGAAGAAGGCCUUCGGGUUGUAAAGCCCUGUCGGGUGGGAAAAAAGAUACAGGGUGAAUAGCUUUGUGUCCUGAUGGUACCACCGGAGGAAGCACCGGCUAACUCCGUGCCAGCAGCCGCGGUAAUACGGAGGGUGCAAGCGUUGUUCGGAUUUACUGGGCGUAAAGGGCGCGUAGGCGGCUUGGUAAGUCGGGUGUGAAAUCCUUCCGCUUAACGGAAGAAGUGCACCCGAAACUGCCUUGCUCGAGUUUAGGAGAGGAGAGCGGAAUUCCCGGUGUAGAGGUGAAAUUCGUAGAUAUCGGGAGGAACACCCGUGGCGAAAGCGGCUCUCUGGCCUAAUACUGACGCUGAGGCGCGAAAGCGUGGGGAGCAAACAGGAUUAGAUACCCUUGU
This 461-nucleotide ribosomal RNA is filed under the name uncultured Syntrophobacteraceae bacterium. RNAcentral's name for it is "partial 16S ribosomal RNA". It matches the Rfam family "Bacterial small subunit ribosomal RNA", at positions 338 to 791 of the family's 1533-position model. The record is from RNAcentral. Lineage: Bacteria; Pseudomonadati; Thermodesulfobacteriota; Syntrophobacteria; Syntrophobacterales; Syntrophobacteraceae.